CCCUUAGAUGUUCUGGGCCGCACGCGCGCUACACUGACGAAGUCAGCGAGCAUGUCCUACGCCGAUAGGUGCGGGGAAUCUUGUGAAACUUCGUCGUGCUGGGGAUUGAUUAUUGAAAUUAUUGAUCAUCAACGAGGAAUUCCUAGUAAGCGCAAGUCAGCAGCUUGCGUUGAUUACGUCCCUGCCCUUUGUACACACCGCCCGUCGCACCUACCGAUUGAAUGGUCCGGUGAAGCCUCCGGAUUGGCGCGCACCUCGGUGCCGCCGAGAAGUUGGCUAAACCUUACCAUUUAGAAGAAGGUGAAGUCGUAACA
Molecule: ribosomal RNA, 314 nt
Filed under: uncultured eukaryote
Lineage: Eukaryota
Description: partial 18S ribosomal RNA
Rfam family: Eukaryotic small subunit ribosomal RNA
Source: RNAcentral